This 62-nucleotide transfer RNA is filed under the name Xyloterini sp. Its description in RNAcentral is "tRNA-Glu". It matches the Rfam family "tRNA". Rfam says of the family: Transfer RNA (tRNA) molecules are approximately 80 nucleotides in length. Lineage: Eukaryota; Metazoa; Arthropoda; Insecta; Coleoptera; Curculionidae. The record is from RNAcentral.
AUUUUUAUAGUUUAAGAAAAACAUUUCAUUUUCAUUGAAAAAUUAGAUCCGUCUUAAAAAUA